UUGGUCCAAUCCAUAGAAUUAGGAAUUAAAAUACAAAUAUUUGUUAUUCACAUAAAAGAGUGUGGCACAUUCUAAACCAAAUGCUUUCCUUCAUUUCAUGAACAUCUUCCAACUUCUGGCUUCCGGUUUGGACCACAAAAACAACAUAAUAGAAUUAGGAAUUAGAUAGGAUCUCUAUGAUUACUCCGUGGCAUUCGUCGCCUAGGAACGAAAUGUCAACCUUGCUUUCCAAAACAUUAUUUGCUAGCUAGCUAACAGACUAGCUGAAAACCUGUAGGCAAGCUAGCUAGGUACUGACCGUCCGCAGACUUGAACAACAGACUCUCUAGUUUGACCCCCUGCCGAUCUAGAGUAAGAAGACAGCCACUGUGGUCCUCAUGUUCAAUUCCCCUGAAGAGGUUUUGGCUAAAGCUUGCGAAGCCAUCCACAAAUUUGCAGGGAAAGGUAUUUUUACCGUUGAUGUUGGUGAGAGAACUAACGUCAUAGCAAUAUGGUAUCCUUUCUUCAUUGAAAUAAUCACAUUAUCUGAAAAAAACUGGAUUGUGGAAAGAUUUGCAAUGAAAGUGAUAUAUUCAUUUGACCCUGGACCAAAGCUUGGGAGCAGCUUACCUAUUGAGCAUAAAGCCAUCUCUAUCUAUCAAUCUAUCUAUCUCUUUCUUGCUCUCUCUCUUUCUCUCUCCCCCACAAUCUCACUCCCUGUCUCUCUGUCUCCCCAUUGUGGUAGGUGACGAAAACAGGAGCUCUCUGCUGGGGCUGGGGGCAGUGGAGCCUCUACCUCACCUCAUAUCCCACGAAGACAAGCUGGUCCACCCCAACGCCUUCAUGGCCCUGGGGGUCAUGGCUGCCAACAGUGAUGUAAAAAUACUUCUGAAGAAACUGGAAGUCAUUCAUUCUGUCAUCGGAAAGCUGUCACCUGAAAAGGUCCAUGAGUUGUGCCUGGCCUCCCUGUUGGUGGACUUCAGCUGCUGUCCAGCCCUGACCCAGAUGUCAAGAAGAACUCUGAGUCUAUCUACAUCCUGGUGCAGGACCUCACCAGCCGCGUGGCUGUGCGUGAACUAAAUGGCGUUCCCCCGCUCCUGGAGCUGAGAUCUGAGAUCCCGGUCAUUCAGCAGCUUGACCUGAGGACCCUGGCAAGCGUAACCACGGAUAACGACAUACAAGUCACCUUCAGGGAGGAGCAGGGCUUUGACAGGAUGCUGGAGUUCCUCUGCAACAAGGUGUUCAGUGAUCUGCAUGUAGAAGCUCUCCAGGUGGUCUCUAUCUGUUUGGAGGACAGAGACAGUCUCCAGCUGAUCCAUGAGUGUUGUGAAUGAGACGAUGGUGGGGGAGUCAUGAGGUCUCACUGUGUGUGUGUGUGUCUCAGUAAUGUCUGAGGCUGAGGGAGAUGAGGGUUUAGUUCAGCAGCUCCAUCACAUGAUUCCCGGUGCGGUGGCUCAUGCUGCGGUCGUUCUCACCAACAUGGCCGAACAGGAAUUCCUGCGCGGCAGCAUUCUGUCCAGCGAUGGCCGCACUCCUGGAGCCACUGCAGUCAGCAGACACACACACUUGUCAGAGCCAUGCAGGCCAUCGCUGCUCUCGCCUGCGAUGCUGAGGAACAGGCAGACAUGAGUGUGUCUUUGUCCGUAGUGUGGGUUUCACACCUGGGUCAAAUAUAUACAAUUCUUGAGUUUUCCCGGUACGAUGGAACCAAUGGAAUAGUCCCAAAAGUACAAACUCCCUCCUCUCAUUCCAUCUCUUCCUGUUAAGCUGAGGAAUGCGGGAGGCUUUGUCCCAUUGGUCAAACUGCUACGGUCCAAUCACAACGUGUGCGCCAACGAUGAGCCCAUUGCUGUGGAAAUGUGCAAGCUGAGGCUUGUUCUGGCCAGAGGAUAUUGACUCUAGAGGAUCUGUCUAAACAGCCAGUCAACCAGCGACGGCCUGUCAUUGCUAUGUAUUUGCAACGCCAUGCUCUACCAACUGAGCUACAUCCCUG
Molecule: long non-coding RNA, 1972 nt
Organism: Coregonus clupeaformis (lake whitefish)
Lineage: Eukaryota; Metazoa; Chordata; Actinopteri; Salmoniformes; Salmonidae
Exons: 8
Source: RefSeq, a predicted model, not a curated record